This 463-nucleotide ribosomal RNA is filed under the name uncultured bacterium. Its description in RNAcentral is "partial 16S ribosomal RNA". It matches the Rfam family "Bacterial small subunit ribosomal RNA", at positions 28 to 507 of the family's 1533-position model. The record is from RNAcentral.
GACGAACGCUGGCGGCGUGCUUAACACAUGCAAGUCGAACGGUGAACCUCUUCGGAGGGGAUCAGUGGCGAACGGGUGAGUAACACGUGGGCAACCUGCCCCCGGCUCUGGGAUAACUCCAAGAAAUUGGGGCUAAUACCGGAUGUUCACCGCUUCCCGCAUGGGUGGUGGUGCAAAGGGUUUCCGGCUGGGGAUGGGCCCGCGGCCUAUCAGCUUGUUGGUGGGGUAGUGGCCUACCAAGGCGACGACGGGUAGCCGGCCUGAGAGGGUGACCGGCCACACUGGGACUGAGACACGGCCCAGACUCCUACGGGAGGCAGCAGUGGGGAAUAUUGCGCAAUGGGCGGAAGCCUGACGCAGCGACGCCGCGUGGGGGAUGACGGCCUUCGGGUUGUAGACCUCUUUCAGCAGGGACGAAGCGCAAGUGACGGUACCUGCAGAAGAAGCACCGGCCAACUACGUG